Sceloporus undulatus (fence lizard) is the source of this 660-nucleotide long non-coding RNA. RefSeq lists it as uncharacterized. The record is from RefSeq and is a predicted model, not a curated record. NCBI's taxonomy places the organism in Eukaryota, Metazoa, Chordata, Lepidosauria, Squamata, Phrynosomatidae. The transcript is spliced from 3 exons.
CCCAAACGUCAAGCUAAAGGAGGAGGAGGAGGGGGGGUAUGGCCACGCCCCCAGUCCCGGACCCUCCCAUUUUGGGGGAAGAGGGAAGGCGCAAAGGACCAAGGCGCAGCCACUCUGCCCCUGAAACCCAACCAAUCCUCCACUCUUUCCACACUCUUUUCCCCAAAGACAUAGGACUUGGUAGUCCUCCUCCCCACCCACGAGGGCUACAGAAUGGUUUGGUCCGAAUCAACCCCCCCCAGGUCCCCACUUUGGUUUCUUCCACUGUCGCAGGUCGCGGUUUGCCAAAGAUGGUCAUUUGCGUCGAGCGCGGGUUUCCUUGCCCUGAAUUGUUUUAAAAGCAAAAAAGAAUGCAUGGCAGUCGCAUCCUUUUCUGGCAUUGCCGAGGCUUGACACUUCCCUGAAGUGGAGAUAGAGGAGAAGAUAACUUCUGCAAAUACCUCAACAUUUCACAGACAAAAACUGGGAUGCAAGCAACAUCAGAACAUGAUCAAGAUAGCAAAAGUUAUUACUGAGUAAAAACAUGCAAACUAGUCUUUCAAUCUUAAAUAUAUAUUUGGGUGUCUUCUGCAUACUGAUAGCAUCCUGCCCCAUGUUUCCAGAUGAUCUCUCUGAGCAACAGAUGUAACUCUAUUAUACCCUCAUUAUUAAAAAGUAAGU